GACGAACGCUGGCGGCGUGCUUAACACAUGCAAGUCGAACGGAAAGGCCCUGCUUUUGUGGGUUGCUCGAGUGGCGAACGGGUGUGUAACACGUGAGUAACCUGCCCUUGACUUUGGGAUAACUUCAGGAAACUGGGGCUAAUACCGGAUAGGAGCUCCUGCUGCAUGGUGGGGGUUGGAAAGUUUCGGCGGUUGGGGAUGGACUCGCGGCUUAUCAGCUUGUUGGUGGGGUAGUGGCUUACCAAGGCUUUGACGGGUAGCCGGCCUGAGAGGGUGACCGGCCACAUUGGGACUGAGAUACGGCCCAGACUCCUACGGGAGGCAGCAGUGGGGAAUAUUGCACAAUGGGCGGAAGCCUGAUGCAGCAACGCCGCGUGCGGGAUGACGGCCUUCGGGUUGUAAACCGCUUUCGCCUGUGACGAAGCGUGAGUGACGGUAAUGGGUAAAGAAGCACCGGCUAACUACGUG
Molecule: ribosomal RNA, 468 nt
Filed under: uncultured bacterium
Lineage: Bacteria
Description: partial 16S ribosomal RNA
Rfam family: Bacterial small subunit ribosomal RNA
Source: RNAcentral